RNAcentral lists this ribosomal RNA (740 nucleotides) under uncultured bacterium. RNAcentral describes it as "bacterial SSU rRNA". It matches the Rfam family "Bacterial small subunit ribosomal RNA", at positions 790 to 1530 of the family's 1533-position model. The record is from RNAcentral.
GUAGUCCUGGCCGUAAACGAUGUCGACUUGGAGGUUGUGCCCUUGAGGCGUGGCUUCCGGAGCUAACGCGUUAAGUCGACCGCCUGGGGAGUACGGCCGCAAGGUUAAAACUCAAAUGAAUUGACGGGGGCCCGCACAAGCGGUGGAGCAUGUGGUUUAAUUCGAUGCAACGCGAAGAACCUUACCUGGUCUUGACAUCCACGGAAGUUUUCAGAGAUGAGAAUGUGCCUUCGGGAACCGUGAGACAGGUGCUGCAUGGCUGUCGUCAGCUCGUGUUGUGAAAUGUUGGGUUAAGUCCCGCAACGAGCGCAACCCUUAUCCUUUGUUGCCAGCGGUCCGGCCGGGAACUCAAAGGAGACUGCCAGUGAUAAACUGGAGGAAGGUGGGGAUGACGUCAAGUCAUCAUGGCCCUUACGACCAGGGCUACACACGUGCUACAAUGGCGCAUACAAAGAGAAGCGACCUCGCGAGAGCAAGCGGACCUCAUAAAGUGCGUCGUAGUCCGGAUUGGAGUCUGCAACUCGACUCCAUGAAGUCGGAAUCGCUAGUAAUCGUGGAUCAGAAUGCCACGGUGAAUACGUUCCCGGGCCUUGUACACACCGCCCGUCACACCAUGGGAGUGGGUUGCAAAAGAAGUAGGUAGCUUAACCUUCGGGAGGGCGCUUACCACUUUGUGAUUCAUGACUGGGGUGAAGUCGUAACAAGGUAACCGUAGGGGAACCUGCGGCUGGAUCACCUCC